This 478-nucleotide ribosomal RNA is filed under the name uncultured bacterium. Its description in RNAcentral is "partial 16S ribosomal RNA". It matches the Rfam family "Bacterial small subunit ribosomal RNA", at positions 28 to 523 of the family's 1533-position model. The record is from RNAcentral.
GUCGAACGCUGGCGGCGUGCUUAACACAUGCAAGUCGAACGGUAAGGCCCUUCGGGGUACACGAGUGGCGAACGGGUGAGUAACACGUGGGUGAUCUGCCCUGCACUUCGGGAUAAGCCUGGGAAACUGGGUCUAAUACCGGAUAGGACCACUGCCUGCAUGGGUGGUGGUGGAAAGCUUUUGCGGUGUGGGAUGGGCCCGCGGCCUAUCAGCUUGUUGGUGGGGUGAUGGCCUACCAAGGCGACGACAGGUAGCCGGCCUGAGAGGGUGACCGGCCACACUGGGACUGAGAUACGGCCCAGACUCCUACGGGAGGCAGCAGUGGGGAAUAUUGCACAAUGGGCGCAAGCCUGAUGCAGCGACGCCGCGUGAGGGAUGACGGCCUUCGGGUUGUAAACCUCUUUCAGCUAUGACGAAGCGCAAGUGACGGUAGUAGCAGAAGAAGGACCGGCCAACUACGUGCCAGCAGCCGCGGUAA